Molecule: long non-coding RNA, 3120 nt
Organism: Carcharodon carcharias (great white shark)
Lineage: Eukaryota; Metazoa; Chordata; Chondrichthyes; Lamniformes; Lamnidae
Exons: 2
Source: RefSeq, a predicted model, not a curated record
GAGUAUUUCACAGUCACCCAAGAAAGUCUCUACAGCCUCCACUUUGCAAACCACUGCACGAAAGAGUGUUUCUCAAAUUUCUUUGGUUGAAGGACUCCUUUUCAAAUGGGCAUGGCUGCGGUUGAUGUUUGGUGCGGAGGAGAGGGCAGCCAUGAUGGACCAGAGGCCUCGGCACGUUUUAAUGGGGAGCUGGUGUCCAAGUCUCUGGAAGCGGAUUCCUUUCAUUAGUCCUAGCCAUGGACAUUUAGUUCUCUUUUUUUAAGCACCUUUCUGACAGGGGUGAGAAGUAGUGCCUGGAAAGUAUACAGCUGAACUGCAGACCACACGGACAGAUUAACCUGGAAACAUCUGAAUCUCUCAGUCCAAAGCUGCAAUAACAGCUCUGUUCAAUUUUGAAAUGCUCACCGAUUUGUUUGUCUUUUUAAGUAAAUGCAUCAACAUCUGAUUCAGUAAAACUUGGCAUGAGAGGAGGGAUAAUGCACAAUAGCCAAAGAGAAUGUUACUUUGCCAUGUUUUAAAUGAAAAUAUUUUGCAAUUAUCUGUUUUUAAGUUUUACGUUUGUCUGUCAGAGAUGAUUCAUGAUUUUCUUAAAUGAGGAUUGUCUCUUUAAAAUUUUCAAUACUUUUCUUAGAUGUUAAAAGAAGAGUUGAGUCUGUAGUUGGAUUCUUUUGUUAUAACAUUGAGCUCAGAGGCUCCCCCCAUCUAUCGCAUACCAUAAUUUGCUGUGCAGUAACUGCACAAACCAAUGCUGCUCUCACAUUGCUAGAACCUAUCUAAUUGACUCCCAUUGUAAAGCAUGUUCGUCAUUCAUGAUUUUGCCGUUUGUAAGGUUUUGUGGGAACGUAACUCCUGAAAAUGGCGGAACUUUACUGUACAAGUAGGGACCUGCCACAGGAUGGCUUAGGGCCUGACACACCACGAACAUGCCACUGACUCAAUCUCUGCAUCUCAACUGCCAUCAGGAAAAUCAAAAUUUCAGAUCCCUAAUUAAGUCCUGCUCUUGCAGGCUCCAUAAAAUUCCAGCAAGUGGUGAAUCCGGCUUUGACUUGCUAUUGGGGGAAGGGACCCCGCUCUGACCACAGGUCUAUCCAAGCUGCACAGCAGCCAAGAGCUGCCAUAUCUUGUGUAGCCCCAUACUUAUAGAUGAUGAGUCCGACUUCCAGCGCCACCAACUUCAGUUGUCCACUCCAUGUCGCUGCAUGGUGCCUUCACAGCAACAGGCCAGUAUUCAAACACUACCUUUGGUCCACACGGUCCAGAUGUAGUAAACAGUGCUUUUCAAACCUACCUGUCAAGUUCUGGGAUUUAAGAACCCUCUUGUAAGAGAAGCUUGAUUUUACUUCAAAAUUGUGGCUCUCACAAUAACUUCACGCAAGUUCAUAUGUCUGGGAGAGGUAUUGGAGGAGGAUGGUAUGGUCAACUGUGUCAAAGGUUGUAGACAGGUCAAGAAUGACAGGAAGAGGUAGUUUAUAUUCUAAUUUGGAUGUGUAGGUGGGGUUGUUUGGGUAGAAUAGCUUCUUAGGAAAGAGUGCCAAACUACCUGCUGCUUCCAGAACUCCCAGUGGAUCGAUUUCCAUCCAUUUCUACUUGCAUAUAUGUUUCACAAGUGUUUCAUUCACACUUAUUGUGGGAAGGACUGCAUUUCACCACAGGAAGUAAGGAUAUAUCUUACACCUAGCAAUGAUAAUUGCUCUAGCAUAAAUGUUGACAUAGGGUUUGUUCCUUAGUGUAAACAGUUCUUAUAAAAGUAACAAAUAACAUCCUGUAUGAAUGUGACUGCAGUAAACUAUCCCUCCCCAUCCUUCUUGACCUGUCUGCAACCUUUGACACAGUUGACCAUGCCAUCCUCCUCCAAUAUCUCCACACUCCAUACUUGGAACCCUAAUCCCACUUAAAUCCUGCAGAAAAAGUUAUAUAAAUGAUGCCAUUUCUAUCAUAACAGUGAUAUCCACCAGAUCCUGAGCAGUGAUGGGUGGGGGUGUUGCAAUUUGUUGUAAAUCCUUGCUCGGAUAUUCCUAUUCCCACAAGGUUCUGUGAGGGAGUAAAUGAACCACUUCUGUUUCCUCAUGCAGGGAUCGAUUUAUUGCACAAACCAGUCCUAUAAUUUUUUUUAAUUCCAAUGUCCUAUGGCCCUAUCAGCACUGGACAUAAGGGGAAUCAUAGACUUUCCCUAGUGUCUAGUAAUGCACAAGAUUGUAAAUGAGGAAAAUACAUUGUAUUUAAUUUAUAUUCCAUUGGUGACUGACAUGUUAUGGGCCUGCUACCUAAAUAGCCUUUCUAAUCCCUGGAAUUCUGGAUCCCCAACACCUGGCACAUACAGAAAGCCAAAGCACCCAUACACCUUCUUUCAUUGGGUUAGUCCUGAAUGCAAAACCCGUAAAGGGCCCAGUGCCCUUGUCAUUGAAAGCAGUGAAACCUGCUUAAGAAGUUUCACGUGCUGCCUCCAACUUAAAGUACAGCUGGCACCAAUGUAAGAUUAAAAAGCUCUUGCAAACAAUAUUUGACAUUGGAUCCACCAUGUUGGAUCUCAAAAUAAAGUUGAACUCUCAGCCCAUCCAUAUAUGUAUGCAAUUACUAACCCACUACCAAUAGUAGCUCAGUAAUAAACAUGGCACCAGAGUGCCCCUUUUAUAUUACUGCAUAACUAUGCUUCAGCCUCACAAGAAUGGAAAAUAUUUUAAAAGGGUAUUUUUUUCCAUCUUGAAUUAGUAAUAAUGUGUUUCUGAAAUGCUUUAACAAAUUUCUCAAGUAUAUUUGAAUACUUCACUACCCUAACUGCUGAUCAUGUUUAAUGGUUCAAAGUUCAUAAUGUCAGUUUGACAAGGAACUGUUAAUGUAUUCCAUUAUAUACUGGAAUUCCUACUGCAAAGUGUGAAUGAAUCCUUUAAUUGGCUUGUCUAUCUGUUAAUGAUUUGUCUAUGUUGUGCAAUAUUUCCACUGAGUGCUAUGAAGCAAAGCCACAAAAGGACUACUGACCACACAGAUGUCUAAAGCCAAAGCCAAACUAAACAUUCUUCACCCUAUCAUAUUAGUAAUAGCUGAACAUAUCUGCUGCUGGUGUUUGUAGCUAUCCAGUGUAUCUUUAAUUUUGUGUGGUUAAAAAUAAAAGUGUCUACAACA